AUGAACGCUGGCGGCGUGCCUAAUACAUGCAAGUCGCGCGAACAGACGAGGAGCUUGCUCCUCUGACGUUAGCGGCGGACGGGUGAGUAACACGUGGAAAACCUACCUAUAAGACUGGGAUAACUUCGGGAAACCGGAGCUAAUACCGGAUAAUAUAUUGAACCGCAUGGUUCAAUAGUGAAAGACGGUUUUGCUGUCACUUAUAGAUGGAUCCGCGCCGCAUUAGCUAGUUGGUAAGGUAACGGCUUACCAAGGCAACGAUGCGUAGCCGACCUGAGAGGGUGAUCGGCCACACUGGAACUGAGACACGGUCCAGACUCCUACGGGAGGCAGCAGUAGGGAAUCUUCCGCAAUGGGCGAAAGCCUGACGGAGCAACGCCGCGUGAGUGAUGAAGGUCUUCGGAUCGUAAAACUCUGUUAUUAGGGAAGAACAAAUGUGUAAGUAACUAUGCACGUCUUGACGGUACCUAAUCAGAAAGCCACGGCUAACUACGUG
This 496-nucleotide ribosomal RNA is filed under the name uncultured bacterium. Its description in RNAcentral is "partial 16S ribosomal RNA". It matches the Rfam family "Bacterial small subunit ribosomal RNA", at positions 29 to 507 of the family's 1533-position model. The record is from RNAcentral.